GCGGGCGUGGUGGAAUGGCAGACACGUUGGUCUUAGGAACCAAUGCUUACGCGUGCAGGUUCGAGUCCUGUCGCCCGCACCA
Molecule: transfer RNA, 82 nt
Filed under: Candidatus Faecivivens stercoripullorum
Lineage: Bacteria; Bacillati; Bacillota; Clostridia; Eubacteriales; Oscillospiraceae
Description: tRNA-Leu
Rfam family: tRNA
About the family: Transfer RNA (tRNA) molecules are approximately 80 nucleotides in length.
Source: RNAcentral